This is a long non-coding RNA of Acanthopagrus latus (yellowfin seabream), 1034 nucleotides long. RefSeq lists it as uncharacterized. Lineage: Eukaryota; Metazoa; Chordata; Actinopteri; Spariformes; Sparidae. The record is from RefSeq and is a predicted model, not a curated record. The transcript has 2 exons.
GGGACAGGGGGACGGAGCUGGUGAGCGGGCGAGGCCACCUGAAGAGCCUCCUGAGCACGGCGAUACACUUCACCGUGCUCGUGCUGGCGGUCGCGAGGCGACACCUGUAGGGCGCGAGGCGGCAACACCAGCAACAGAUGGUGCCUUUAGGACCCCGCAUGAGGAAUGGGCCCACAUCAUUUGCACUAGCAGCAAGAGAUGCAGGAGGAUGCGGUCCAGGAGGAGUUGAGCCCGACAGAAGAGGAGGAGGAGGAGGGGUUAAAUGUGUGUUUUAUGGUCGGGACUUUGUGUCUCACAAAAAAUAUUUAAAGAAGACUCAGUCAGGCCCGAUGUGGAUGCACUCUGAGUUUCAUACCGAGCCGACACGCUGAACCCCAGCAGCCCCUGCAGCCCGCCGGUUGCACGUCCUGCCCCCUGCGUGACUCUCCGAUUCAGUCAUCCCAGUAACAAAACGGUGAUGUAAUCCUCCCCUGGUAGAGCGGAGGGAAAAGCUUACUAAUAGGACUCCCUUUUGCAUUUGCAGCUCCCGCAGUGCGAGAGCAUGCAAAGGAGUUAAACUGAUUAGACCUUCAUAAAUGCAUCUAGGGCCACAAAUAGUGCAGCGAUCCUGGAAAAUGCACUGAAAAAAAGACCUGUUUCUGAGCUUCAUAAUGCACUGUAUUUUUUUUAUUUAUUUAUUUAUAUAAGCUUUAUGGUACGUGUACACGUCUAUAAUGAGAGGGAUGAAUGAUUUUUUAAUAGAUGUUUUCUACAGUGUUUAGAUGAUGUUUACACAUUCUCCUGUGCUUUAGCAUUAUCUUUCGCAGGCAGUGUUCAGUGGCUUUUUUUUAAUCCAAAACAAGAUACAGGACCUGUGCAUAGGAAGCUGUUAAUGCUGUCUGUGAUUUCUGGAAAUAAGCUUUCUCUCAUAUGUCAUGUGUAAUGUGAGCAGAAUUACUGAAACUGUCCUUUUAUAAAGCGUGUGCUAUUUAUACUUGAAUAUUUCAUAUGGAUUUUUAGCAGUUAAAAGUAAUAAAAAAUCUUUCUGAAAUAAA